This 71-nucleotide transfer RNA is filed under the name Cordylochernes scorpioides. RNAcentral's name for it is "tRNA-Gly". It matches the Rfam family "tRNA". Rfam says of the family: Transfer RNA (tRNA) molecules are approximately 80 nucleotides in length. Their secondary structure includes four short double-helical elements and three loops (D, anti-codon, and T loops). Lineage: Eukaryota; Metazoa; Arthropoda; Arachnida; Pseudoscorpiones; Chernetidae. The record is from RNAcentral.
GCAUCGGUGGCUUAGUGGUAGAAUGCUCGCCUGCCACGCGGGCGGCCGGGGUUCGAUUCCCGGCCGAUGCA